RNAcentral lists this microRNA precursor (190 nucleotides) under Oryza sativa Indica Group (long-grained rice). RNAcentral describes it as "MIR812 microRNA precursor family". It matches the Rfam family "MIR812 microRNA precursor family". The record is from Rfam by way of RNAcentral. Lineage: Eukaryota; Viridiplantae; Streptophyta; Magnoliopsida; Poales; Poaceae.
AAAAAGGCAAACAUUGGGUUUCCGUGUCCAAUUUUGACUGUGCGUCUUAUAUGAAAUUUUUUUUAUAAUUCGUAUUUUCAUUGUUGUUAGAUGAUAAAACAUGAUUAAUAUUUUAUGCGUGACUUGUCUUUUUAAUUUUUUCAUAUUUUUUUUAAAUAAGACGGACGGUCAAACGUUGGGCACGGAAACC